This is a non-coding RNA of Phrynosoma platyrhinos (Desert horned lizard), 71 nucleotides long. The record is from the annotation of a GenBank genome assembly. Lineage: Eukaryota; Metazoa; Chordata; Lepidosauria; Squamata; Phrynosomatidae.
GCCAGCAUGGCGCAGUGGUUUGAGUGUUGGACUGAGACUCUGGAGACCAGGGUUGGAUUCCCGGCUUGGCC